This is a long non-coding RNA of Rosa rugosa (rugosa rose), 624 nucleotides long. RefSeq lists it as uncharacterized. The transcript has 3 exons. NCBI's taxonomy places the organism in Eukaryota, Viridiplantae, Streptophyta, Magnoliopsida, Rosales, Rosaceae. The record is from RefSeq and is a predicted model, not a curated record.
UACAGAUUUUUGGAUUACUUAAGCAAAUUUGAUUGGGAGAAAUACUGUGUAAGUUUAAAUGGACCAGUUUACAAAUCCUCUCUACCUAAUAUUGUGGCUGAAGUACCAGAUAAUAGAGGGGAUGAUGUACUGCUAGGUGAAGAGUUUAUUAGAAACUGUGUACCAUCAAAGGGGUGUGAGACAAACUUACGAGUUUGUUCCUUAUAAUUGAUCCACUAAAAGAGAACAACCACCUUGGCCGUAGUGUCAAUAGAGGUAGCUUCUAUCGAAAAUGUAGUGCUUUUUAAAUAUGGAGCUCGCAAGCUAGGCUGGAUUCUCUUGUUACCAGCAGAGAGAAUAUCAGAUGAACUUAACAAGUUUUUAGCAACACUUUGGAUAGGCAUGAAAGUAAAUGUCAGACUACUGUGCAAAAUAAUGCCUUGUUGGAGCUGGGUGAAGAUUUGGAGUUGAUACCAGUAAAUGAAACAUCAACUAUGUCUCUUUUUGGUAGGUUUAAGCUUUGUAAGUUGCAAUAAGUUUCUUUAUUCUCGGAUAAGCUAGUGCAAUAAGUUGUAUUUACAUAUCUAUUACGACUUUAGAUUUUGAUCGAAAGUGAUGAUGUAUAUGAAUACAUUUGUAGACAUA